Stegastes partitus (bicolor damselfish) is the source of this 188-nucleotide long non-coding RNA. RefSeq lists it as uncharacterized. The transcript has 2 exons. Lineage: Eukaryota; Metazoa; Chordata; Actinopteri; Pomacentridae. The record is from RefSeq and is a predicted model, not a curated record.
CUUGUGGCACAGUUCUACUGGAGCCGGACGGUUCAUGUUGGCCAGCGUCACCUUUGACAUCCCAGACAGACCUCUGACCUUCAGCUCCAGCUGCAGCAGCUCACUGUUGUGUCUUUAGCUUAUAGUUGAUCUCCAGGUAAGUCUGUGCUUCCCUUCAGUUUAUAACCGUUUAAGGUCUUUUCCAGCUC